This 253-nucleotide ribosomal RNA is filed under the name uncultured bacterium. RNAcentral describes it as "partial 16S ribosomal RNA". It matches the Rfam family "Bacterial small subunit ribosomal RNA", at positions 524 to 776 of the family's 1533-position model. The record is from RNAcentral.
UACGUAGGGGCCUAGCGUUGUUCGGAAUUACUGGGCGUAAAGGGCGCGUAGGCGGCCAACUAAGUCAGACGUGAAAUCCCUCGGCUCAACCGGGGAACUGCGUCUGAUACUGGAUGGCUUGAAUUCGGGAGAGGGAUGCGGAAUUCCAGGUGUAGCGGUGAAAUGCGUAGAUAUCGUAAGGAAGACCAGUGGCGAAGGCGGGUCUCUGGACAGUUCCUGACGCUGAGGCACGAAGGCCAGGGGAGCAAACGGG